UUAAAAAGCUCGUAGUUGGAUUUCUGGCGGGAGUGACCGGUCCGUCCUUUCUGGAUGUGUACUAGCUGUCGUCUCUUGCCAUCCUUGGGGAGAACGUUCCUGGCAUUAGGUUGUCGGGUUCGGGAUCCCCAUCCUUUACUGUGAAAAAAUUAGAGUGUUUAAAGCAGGCUUAUGCCGUUGAAUACAUUAGCAUGGAAUAAUAAGAUAGGACUUUGGUGGUCUAUUUUGUUGGUUUGCACGCCAAGGUAAUGAUUAAUAGGGAUGGUUGGGGGUAUCCGUAUUUCGUAGUCAGAGGUGAAAUUCUUGGAUUUACGAAAGACGAACUACUGCGAAAGCWUUUACCAAGGAUGUUUUCAUUAAUCAAGAACGAAAGUUAGGGGAUCGAAGAUGAUUAGAUACCAUUGUAGUCUUAACCAUAAACUAUGCCGACUAGGGAUUGGCGGUCGUUACUGUUAUGACUCCGUCAGCACCUUAUGAGAAAUCAAAGUCUUUAGGUUCCGGGG
This 503-nucleotide ribosomal RNA is filed under the name uncultured marine eukaryote. RNAcentral describes it as "SSU rRNA". It matches the Rfam family "Eukaryotic small subunit ribosomal RNA", at positions 621 to 1130 of the family's 1831-position model. The record is from RNAcentral.